Molecule: non-coding RNA, 100 nt
Organism: Desulfitibacter sp. BRH_c19
Lineage: Bacteria; Bacillati; Bacillota; Clostridia; Neomoorellales; Desulfitibacteraceae
Source: Rfam
CUUAGUGAUUCAAAACUCGUAGAUGUACAGGCAGGCCUAGAAACUGCAAUGAGCGGUAUAAUUGCCCAGUUAGCUGGAAUUAAUGUUAUUUCUGGAGCUG